RNAcentral lists this ribosomal RNA (460 nucleotides) under uncultured bacterium. RNAcentral's name for it is "partial 16S ribosomal RNA". It matches the Rfam family "Bacterial small subunit ribosomal RNA", at positions 338 to 795 of the family's 1533-position model. The record is from RNAcentral.
CCUACGGGGGGCAGCAGUGAGGAAUAUUGGUCAAUGGCCGUAAGGCUGAACCAGCCAAGUAGCGUGAGGGAAGACUGCCCUAUGGGUUGUAAACCUCUUUUAUGCGGGGAUAAAGGUGUCCACGUGUGGGCUUAGCGAGAGUACCUGAAGAAAAAGCAUCGGCUAACUCCGUGCCAGCAGCCGCGGUAAUACGGAGGAUGCGAGCGUUAUCCGGAUUUAUUGGGUUUAAAGGGUGCGUAGGCGGAAUAUCAAGUCAGCGGUAAAAAUUCGGGGCUCAACCCCGUCGUGCCGUUGAAACUGAUGUUCUUGAGUGGGCGAGAAGUAUGCGGAAUGCGUGGUGUAGCGGUGAAAUGCAUAGAUAUCACGCAGAACUCCGAUUGCGAAGGCAGCAUACCGGCGCCCAACUGACGCUGAAGCACGAAAGCGUGGGUAUCGAACAGGAUUAGAUACCCUUGUAGUC